Molecule: transfer RNA, 72 nt
Filed under: Tetradesmus obliquus
Lineage: Eukaryota; Viridiplantae; Chlorophyta; Chlorophyceae; Sphaeropleales; Scenedesmaceae
Also listed under: 1 other name
Description: Scenedesmus obliquus tRNA
Rfam family: tRNA
About the family: Transfer RNA (tRNA) molecules are approximately 80 nucleotides in length.
Source: Rfam by way of RNAcentral
GCCAGGGUAGCUCAGUGGUAGAGCAAGAGACUGAAAAUCUCUGUGUCGUUUGUUCAAUUCAAACUCUUGGCA